GACGAACGCUGGCGGCGUGCUUAACACAUGCAAGUCGAACGGAAAGGCCCUGCUUUUGUGGGGUGCUCGAGUGGCGAACGGGUGAGUAACACGUGAGUAACCUGCCCUUGACUUUGGGAUAACUUCAGGAAACUGGGGCUAAUACCGGAUAGGAGCUCCUGCUGCAUGGUGGGGGUUGGAAAGUUUCGGCGGUUGGGGAUGGACUCGCGGCUUAUCAGCUUGUUGGUGGGGUAGUGGCUUACCAAGGCUUUGACGGGUAGCCGGCCUGAGAGGGUGACCGGGCACAAUGGGACUGAGAUACGGCCCAGACUCCUACGGGAGGCAGCAGUGGGGAAUAUUGCACAAUGGGCGGAAGCCUGAUGCAGCAACGCCGCGUGCGGGAAGACGGCCUUUGGGUUGUAAACCGCUUUCGCCUGUGACGAAGCGUGAGUGACGGUAAUGGGUAAAGAAGCACCGGCUAACUACGUG
RNAcentral lists this ribosomal RNA (468 nucleotides) under uncultured bacterium. RNAcentral describes it as "partial 16S ribosomal RNA". It matches the Rfam family "Bacterial small subunit ribosomal RNA", at positions 28 to 507 of the family's 1533-position model. The record is from RNAcentral.